This 195-nucleotide small nucleolar RNA is filed under the name Vulpes vulpes (red fox). RNAcentral describes it as "Small nucleolar RNA U3 (ENSVVUG00000025141.1)". The stretch from base 56 to 195 matches the Rfam family "Small nucleolar RNA U3", at positions 76 to 219 of the family's 219-position model. Rfam says of the family: Small nucleolar RNAs (snoRNAs) are involved in the processing and modification of rRNA in the nucleolus. There are two main classes of snoRNAs: the box C/D class, and the box H/ACA class. Lineage: Eukaryota; Metazoa; Chordata; Mammalia; Carnivora; Canidae. The record is from RNAcentral.
AAGUCAGGGCCAUGCUGUUCAGAUAUCAUUGAAAGAUAUCUUUUUGAAAGAAAGGAUCACAAGGAGGAGGCUCAGUGUUCUCUCCUGAGCAUGAAGCUGUCUUUAGAUGUUGCUUCUGCAACUGCCUAUUGCCAUUGAUAAUUGUACUUUUCCUCCUUUGGAGGAAUAAGAGGAAGAGGAAACAGUCUGAGUGGU